This 72-nucleotide transfer RNA is filed under the name Camelus bactrianus (Bactrian camel). It matches the Rfam family "tRNA". From Rfam's summary of the family: Transfer RNA (tRNA) molecules are approximately 80 nucleotides in length. Their secondary structure includes four short double-helical elements and three loops (D, anti-codon, and T loops). The record is from Rfam by way of RNAcentral. Lineage: Eukaryota; Metazoa; Chordata; Mammalia; Artiodactyla; Camelidae. RNAcentral also lists the same sequence under 2 other names.
GAGGGUAUAGCUCAGUGGUAGAGUGUAUGCUUAGCAUGCAUAAGAUCCUGGGUUCAAUCUCCAGUACUUCCA